This is an RNA transcript of Phoenix dactylifera (date palm), 1650 nucleotides long. RefSeq lists it as uncharacterized. The record is from RefSeq and is a predicted model, not a curated record. NCBI's taxonomy places the organism in Eukaryota, Viridiplantae, Streptophyta, Magnoliopsida, Arecales, Arecaceae.
AAACCUUAUUAUAAUUAAAAGCUUGGAGCUAAGGCCGUCCUUCUCCUCGCCUGCCGACGACAUCGCGAGGUGAGGCCGUUCUUGUCGGAGCAGCGCUGUUCGCAGAGCCGGAGCGAUGUCUUACGAUUUCCCGACCGCCUUCCCAACGGUCCGAGCGAUCAAAAUCUCGUAUUCGGAGCUCAAGGAGAAGGAGGAGGAUUUGUCUGCCAAGAUCGAAGAAGGGUUCGGCCCGAGUGGGCUUGGCCUCGUCUCAAUCUCUGAUGUUCCUGGUUAUGCUCUGUUACGUCAAAAUCUUCUAUGUCUUUCAGCCAGAUUAACAAGCCUGCCUGAAGAUGUAAAGGAAGGUCUUGAAGACCCAGUUAGCAGAUACAAUGUAGGAUGGAGUUUUGGAAAAGAGAAGCUGAAAACAGGCAAGCAUGAUACCUUCAAAUGCUCUUUCUACGCUAAUCCUGUGGUAGACGUACCUGCAACUGAUUCUUCCCUUAUGAAAAGGUACCCAUUAUACUGUCGACCAAAUAGAUGGCCUACCAAUGCUUUGCCUGAACUUGAAAUAGCAUUCAAGUCUCUCGGCAAAUUGAUGCUGGAUGUUGGGCUUCUAUUGGCAUAUCACUGCAGUCGAUAUGUAUCAAAAGGUGCAAAAAUGCAUGGCAAUGAAGACUUUGAGCACAUACUACAACGUUCAAGAUGCCACAAAGGUCGUUUGCUGUAUUACCUUCCAGUUCAACAGAGUGAAUUUAAGGAAGGUGCUUGCUCCAUGUCAUCAUGGUCUGACUGGCAUACUGAUUUUUGUCAUCUCACAGGUCUUACCAGUGGCAUGUAUAUGAGAAAUAAUGAAAAGAUCACUUGCCCAGAUAGUGCUGCUGGCCUUUAUAUUAGAAUGCGAAAUGAUCAGAUUGUCAGAGUUGUCUUUGGAGAAGAUGAAAUAGCAUAUCAAAUUUCUGACACUGCAGAUGUACUAUCAAGAGGUCGUCUCUGUGCAACUCCACAUUCUGUUCAGUUGUUGGAUAGGCACCUAAAGGAGAAAAGGCUUAUGGGGUUGGACGCUCAACUUUUGUCUUGUUUAUCCAACCUGACUGGGAUGAGAUUCUUAACUUUCCUGAAGAGAUACCUCAUCAUCUGAAGGUCUGUUUCUGAGACAGUGGAUAUCCUUUGUAGAUAGCCUGAGUGCACGUCGCACAGGGAAAGCUGGAUUUCGGCAAAGGGUAGAAGUAUGUGUUCUCGACAAGUCAAAUCCACUGCAACAGGGGAAAGGCAGGUCCACUAUCGCACGUGUGGCGGUGGAGAUGGAUCCCUAAACCGCAUCUGCAGCGCGCCAUAGAUUUGUUGUCGAUUCGGAUGGUGCCGCGUUGUUCUUGUGUCAAAAGAGAUGGUAAGGGACGCCGCACCAAUUUGGCCCCAUGGACGCAAAGCAUGAGGGGAAUCUACUCGGAGACCCACCACCUUUGUGGCGUGGCAGCCACUCUAGUGGCUUUUACAGGACUGCGGUCUUCGCUGGCUGGAGUACGAUGUCUCAUUCAUUCAUCGGUGUAAUCUAGCCGAGCUGAGCCGAAUAGCCAAAAGCUUUUGAGCUCGACUUGAUUCAAAAGACUUGGAUUCGAAAUUUGGCUCGAAAUUGAUCAAGCUUUAAUAUCAAACUCGAAUUCGACUCUA